This 433-nucleotide unclassified non-coding RNA is filed under the name soil metagenome. RNAcentral describes it as "partial contains 5.8S ribosomal RNA, internal transcribed spacer 2, and large subunit ribosomal RNA". The stretch from base 1 to 120 matches the Rfam family "5.8S ribosomal RNA", at positions 35 to 154 of the family's 154-position model. The record is from RNAcentral.
GAUGAAGAACGCAGCGAAAUGCGAUACGUAAUGUGAAUUGCAGAAUUCAGUGAAUCAUCGAAUCUUUGAACGCAUAUUGCGCUCUCUGGUAUUCCGGAGAGCAUGCUUGUUUGAGUAUCAGUAAACACCUCAACUUCCAUAUCUUUUUUUGAAAUGGGAGUUGGACUUGAGUGAUCCCAACGCUUUUCCUCACCGAAAAGUGGCGGGUUACUUGAAAUGCAGGUGCAGCUGGACGUUUCUCUGAGCUAUAAGCAUAUCUAUUUAGUCUGCCUAAAAAACAGAUUAUUACCUUUGCUGCAGCUAACAUAAAGGAGAUUAGUUCUUGUGCUGACUGAUGCAGGAUUCACAAAGACAGCUUCGGCCGACUUUGUAAACUCGAUCUCAAAUCAAGUAAGACUACCCGCUGAACUUAAGCAUAUCAAUAAGCGGAGGA